GACGAGGGGUCCAAGCGUUGUUCGGAAUUAUUGGGCGUAAAGCGGGUGUAGGUGGCUCUAUAAGUCAGAAGUGAAAGCCCCGGGCUUAACCCGGGAAGUGCUUUUGAUACUGCAGAGCUUGAAUGUGGGAGAGGGUAGUGGAAUUCCAGGUGUAGUGGUGAAAUACGUAGAUAUCGGAAGGAACACCGGUGGCGAAAGCGGCGCGCUGGACCUCUUCUGACGCUGAGGCGCGAAAGCCAGGGGAGCAAACGGG
RNAcentral lists this ribosomal RNA (253 nucleotides) under uncultured bacterium. RNAcentral describes it as "partial 16S ribosomal RNA". It matches the Rfam family "Bacterial small subunit ribosomal RNA", at positions 524 to 776 of the family's 1533-position model. The record is from RNAcentral.